GUCCUAGCCGUAAACGAUGGGCACUAAGUAGAGGGGUUUUGAUUAUCUCUCUGCCGGAGCUAACGCAUUAAGUGCCCCGCCUGGGGAGUACGGCCGCAAGGCUAAAACUCAAAAGAAUUGACGGGGGCUCGCACAAGCGGUGGAGCAUGUGGCUUAAUUCGAUGCAACGCGAAGAACCUUACCGGGGUUUGACAUGGUAGAAGUAGGAGCCUGAAAGGGUAACGAACGGUAUCCAGUCCGUGACUAUCACAGGUGUUGCAUGGCUGUCGU
Molecule: ribosomal RNA, 270 nt
Filed under: uncultured bacterium
Lineage: Bacteria
Description: partial 16S ribosomal RNA
Rfam family: Bacterial small subunit ribosomal RNA
Source: RNAcentral